This 445-nucleotide ribosomal RNA is filed under the name uncultured bacterium. Its description in RNAcentral is "bacterial SSU rRNA". It matches the Rfam family "Bacterial small subunit ribosomal RNA", at positions 954 to 1392 of the family's 1533-position model. The record is from RNAcentral.
GCUAAACGCGAAGAACCUUACCUACACUUGACAUGCCUCUUAGGACUUUCAGAGAUGAUUGUUUUCGGUUCGGCCGGGGAGUGCACAGGUGCUGCAUGGCUGUCGUCAGCUCGUGUCGUGAGAUGUUGGGUUAAGUCCCGGCAACCGAGCGCAACCCUUAUCCGUAUGUUGCCAGCAUUUAGUUGGGCACUCAUGCGAGACUGCCGGUGAUAAGCCGGAGGAAGGCGGGGACGACGGUCAAGUCAUCAUGGCCCUUACGUGUAGGGCUACAAACGUGCUACAAUGGUGGUGACAAUGGGCAGCGAGGUCGUGAGGCCAAGCUAAUCCUAAAAAGCCAAUCUCAGUUCAGAUUGUACUCUGCAACUCGAGUACAUGAAGUUGGAAUCGCUAGUAAUCGUGGAUCAGCAUGCCACGGUGAAUACGUUCCCGGGUCUUGUACACACCG